RNAcentral lists this ribosomal RNA (253 nucleotides) under uncultured bacterium. RNAcentral describes it as "partial 16S ribosomal RNA". It matches the Rfam family "Bacterial small subunit ribosomal RNA", at positions 524 to 776 of the family's 1533-position model. The record is from RNAcentral.
GACGUAGGGCGCGAGCGUUGUCCGGAUUUAUUGGGCGUAAAGAGCUCGUAGGCGGCUUGUCGCGUCGUCCGUGAAAACCCACAGCUCAACUGUGGGCUUGCGGUCGAUACGGGCAGGCUAGAGUUCGGUAGGGGAGACUGGAAUUCCUGGUGUAGCGGUGAAAUGCGCAGAUAUCAGGAGGAACACCGGUGGCGAAGGCGGGACUCUGGGCCGAUACUGACGCUGAGGAGCGAAAGCGUGGGGAGCAAACAGG